Molecule: ribosomal RNA, 259 nt
Filed under: uncultured bacterium
Lineage: Bacteria
Description: partial 16S ribosomal RNA
Rfam family: Bacterial small subunit ribosomal RNA
Source: RNAcentral
UACGGAGGGAGCUAGCGUUGUUCGGAAUUACUGGGCGUAAAGCGCACGUAGGCGGCGAUUCAAGUCAGAGGUGAAAGCCCGGGGCUCAACCCCGGACUGCCUUUGUAAACUAGAUUGCUAGAAUCCUGGAGAGGUUAGUGGAAUUCCAGUGUAGAGGUGAAAUUCGUAGAUAUUGGAAGAACACCGUGUGACGACGGCGACUACUGGACGACGAUUGACGCUGAGGUGCGAAAGCGUGGGGAGCAAACAGGAUUAGAUA